Molecule: ribosomal RNA, 301 nt
Filed under: uncultured bacterium
Lineage: Bacteria
Description: partial 16S ribosomal RNA
Rfam family: Bacterial small subunit ribosomal RNA
Source: RNAcentral
CAGUCGCCGCGGUAAUACGAAGGGCGCAAGCGUUAUCCGGAAUUAUUGGGCGUAAAGAGCUCGUAGGCGGUUUGUCGCGUCUGCCGUGAAAGUCCGGGGCUCAACCCCGGAUCUGCGGUGGGUACGGGCAGACUAGAGUGAUGUAGGGGAGACUGGAAUUCCUGGUGUAGCGGUGAAAUGCGCAGAUAUCAGGAGGAACACCGAUGGCGAAGGCAGGUCUCUGGGCAUUAACUGACGCUGAGGAGCGAAAGCAUGGGGAGCGAACAGGAUUAGAUACCCCCGUAGUCCCUGUCUCUUAUAC